GAUGAACGCUGGCGGCGUGCUUAACACAUGCAAGUCGAACGAACCUUCGGGUUAGUGGCGGACGGGUGAGUAACGCGUGAGAAUCUGCCCUCAGGAGGGGGAUAACGGCUGGAAACGGCCGCUAAUACCCCAUAUGCCGAGAGGUGAAACGAAUUUCGCCUGAGGAUGAGCUCGCGUCUGAUUAGCUAGUUGGUGGGGUAAAGGCCUACCAAGGCGUCGAUCAGUAGCUGGUCUGAGAGGAUGAUCAGCCACACUGGGACUGAGACACGGCCCAGACUCCUACGGGAGGCAGCAGUGGGGAAUUUUCCGCAAUGGGCGAAAGCCUGACGGAGCAACGCCGCGUGAGGGAUGAAGGCCUCUGGGCUGUAAACCUCUUUUCUCAAGGAAGAAGAUCUGACGGUACUUGAGGAAUAAGCCACGGCUAAUUCCGUG
RNAcentral lists this ribosomal RNA (432 nucleotides) under uncultured bacterium. RNAcentral describes it as "bacterial SSU rRNA". It matches the Rfam family "Bacterial small subunit ribosomal RNA", at positions 28 to 507 of the family's 1533-position model. The record is from RNAcentral.